RNAcentral lists this ribosomal RNA (253 nucleotides) under uncultured bacterium. Its description in RNAcentral is "partial 16S ribosomal RNA". It matches the Rfam family "Bacterial small subunit ribosomal RNA", at positions 524 to 776 of the family's 1533-position model. The record is from RNAcentral.
UACGUAGGGGGCAAGCGUUGUCCGGAUUUAUUGGGCGUAAAGAGCGUGUAGGCGGCCAGGUAGGUCUGCUGUGAAAACUCGAGGCUCAACCUCGAGAUGUCGGCGGAAACCAUCUGGCUAGAGUCCGGAAGAGGAGAGUAGAAUUCCUGGUGUAGCGGUGAAAUGCGCAGAUAUCAGGAAGAACACCAAUGGCGAAAGCAGCUCUCUGGGACGGUACUGACGCUGAGACGCGAAAGCGUGGGGAGCGAACAGG